Molecule: ribosomal RNA, 253 nt
Filed under: uncultured bacterium
Lineage: Bacteria
Description: partial 16S ribosomal RNA
Rfam family: Bacterial small subunit ribosomal RNA
Source: RNAcentral
UACGUAGGGUGCGAGCGUUGUCCGGAAUUACUGGGCGUAACGAGCUCGUAGGUGGUUUGUUGCGUUGUCCGUGAAAACUCACAACUCAAUUGUGGGCGUGCGGGCGAUACGGGCAGACUGGAGUACUGCAGGGGAGACUGGAAUUCCUGGUGUAGCGGUGGAAUGCGCAGAUAUCAGGAGGAACACCGGUGGCGAAGGCGGGUCUCUGGGCAGUAACUGACGCUGAGGAGCGAAAGCGUGGGGAGCGAACAGG